This 471-nucleotide ribosomal RNA is filed under the name uncultured bacterium. RNAcentral's name for it is "bacterial SSU rRNA". It matches the Rfam family "Bacterial small subunit ribosomal RNA", at positions 26 to 518 of the family's 1533-position model. The record is from RNAcentral.
AGGACGAACGCUGGCGGCGUGCCUAACACAUGCAAGUCGAACGGUCCGGCCGAAAGGCCGGAUAGUGGCGGACGGGUGAGUAACGCGUGAGCAACCUGCCUUAAAGAGGGGGAUAACACAGGGAAACCUGCGCUAAUACCGCAUAACAUGAAUUUUCCGCAUGGGAGAUACAUCAAAGGAGCAAUCCGCUUUAAGAUGGGCUCGCGUCCGAUUAGAUAGUUGGUGGGUAACGGCCCACCAAGUCAGUGAUCGGUAGCCGGACUGAGAGGUUGAACGGCCACAUUGGAACUGAGAGACGGUCCAGACUCCUACGGGAGGCAGCAGUGGGGGAUAUUAGGCAAUGGGGGGAAACCCUGACCUAGCAACGCCGCGUGAAGGAAGAAGGUCUUCGGAUUGUAAACUUCUUUGACGAGGGACGAUAAUGACGGUACCUCGAAAACAAGCCACGGCUAACUACGUGCCAGCAGCUGC